UGAGGAACAUGACCUUCGGCGGGGGAUAGCCGGCCCAACGGCCGGGUAAUACCGCGUACGACCACAUGGGGACAUCCCUGAGUGGUGAAAGCAGCAAUGCGCCGAUGGAGUGCCUCGCGGCCUAUCAGCUAGUUGGUGAGGUAACGGCUCACCAAGGCGACGACGGGUAGCUGGUCUGAGAGGAUGGCCAGCCACAUUGGGACUGAGACGCGGCCCAGACCUNUACCGGGGAGG
This 234-nucleotide ribosomal RNA is filed under the name uncultured bacterium. RNAcentral's name for it is "partial 16S ribosomal RNA". It matches the Rfam family "Bacterial small subunit ribosomal RNA", at positions 118 to 347 of the family's 1533-position model. The record is from RNAcentral.